This 510-nucleotide ribosomal RNA is filed under the name uncultured bacterium. RNAcentral describes it as "partial 16S ribosomal RNA". It matches the Rfam family "Bacterial small subunit ribosomal RNA", at positions 28 to 507 of the family's 1533-position model. The record is from RNAcentral.
GACGAACGCUGGCGGCGUGCUUAACACAUGCAAGUCGAACGAAGAGCGAUGGAAGCUUGCUUCUCUCAAUCUUAGUGGCGAACGGGUGAGUAACGCGUAAUCAACCUGCCCUUCAGAGGGGGACAACAGUUGGAAACGACUGCUAAUACCGCAUACGAUCUAAUCUCGGCAUCGAGGAGAGAUGAAAGGUGGCCUCUACAUGUAAGCUAUCACUGAAGGAGGGGAUUGCGUCUGAUUAGCUAGUUGGAGGGGUAACGGCCCACCAAGGCGAUGAUCAGUAGCCGGUCUGAGAGGAUGAACGGCCCCAUUGGGACUGAGACACGGCCCAGACUCCUACGGGAGGCAGCAGUGGGGAAUCCUCCGCAAUGGAAGAAAGUCUGACGGAGCAACGCCGCGUGAGUGAUGACGGCCUUCGGGUUGUAAAGCUCUGUUAAUCGGGACGAAAGGCCUUCUUGCGAAUAGUGAGAAGGAUUGACGGUACCGGAAUAGAAAGCCACGGCUAACUACGUG